Molecule: unclassified non-coding RNA, 229 nt
Filed under: Hevea brasiliensis (rubber tree)
Lineage: Eukaryota; Viridiplantae; Streptophyta; Magnoliopsida; Malpighiales; Euphorbiaceae
Source: RNAcentral
UGAACAUAAAGGUUGCUUCUUUCUUGUCUUUGAAUACAUGCAAAAUGGCUCUCUCAGGGAAUGGCUGAUCAGAACCAAGUCUCAAGAUACCAUAAGCUGGAAAAAAAGGAUUCAGAUUGUGUUGGAUGUAGCUAAUGGACUUCAUUAUCUUCACAGCUUUACCAAACCAGGCUACAUCCACAAGAACAUCAACAGUAGAAACAUUCUCCUCGACAACAACAUACGAGCA